This 1509-nucleotide long non-coding RNA is filed under the name Apteryx owenii (little spotted kiwi). RNAcentral's name for it is "lncRNA (ENSAOWG00000004108.1)". Lineage: Eukaryota; Metazoa; Chordata; Aves; Apterygiformes; Apterygidae. The record is from RNAcentral.
CCACCUUGCUUCUCCAGUGACUUCUUAUAUAACAAGCCACCUGCCCUCUGCUGGCUGAAUUCUCCCCUUCCACAUUUGAACUGUGCUCAAUGUGAGCUGCAUCUACACAGCAGAACCGAUGUCGCACCCCUCACACCCACCAGAGCAUAUUCUACCAGGAAGAAGAUGCUGGCAUGCUAAUGCAUCUGGCCUGGGACAUUUUCUGGUAUACCAGACCUCAAUUCCAGUGUGUUGCUUCCCACCAGACCAAAUGUAUUCUGAUGCUGAUGGUGAUGAGGGACAGGUUUCUCUGUGGUGUUUGUGGAGUCCACAGACUUGAAAAGGAUCACACUGAUAAACCUCAGCAAUCUCCAAGACCAAGCAGCUCCCUCAGCUCUCUACCCGUUUCUCUGUCAUGCUCUCCCCACACCCUUAAGUGGCAGGGCAUGAAAUGCUGCUUUUUUCUUAGAGCCAAAGGUCUGUUCCUGGAAGCUGCUAAGUAUCCUAAUUUUCCGCUGAGCUCAGUGUAAGUAGAAGCUGUGUAGCAUGGGAUUAGGCUUGAAGAAAGUGAGUAUAAAAACUCUGGUGUACUUUCUCAGUCCUCCAUGCCAUGUGUUAGACACUUCUGGGAAGUGUGUCUCUACUGCUGAAGAGACUGGUCCAUGACUUCAGUUCUGGUCCAGUAAUGGGCAUACUGGCUAGGCUAAAGGGCUGUUUUAUUAGCACUGUCCAGCACCUCAUGGGCUCUGCUCUAUUUCUUUUACAGCUAAAACUAUAAAGGAAAUACAAAAGUUUAAAAGCUCUAGAACCAGGUUCUGCACUUUUUCUUCAGUGACCUGUAAAAGAUGUGGAAAAAUAUGCAAAGGUAACUUUCAGGGUUGUAAUCUAGAUUAAAUCUAAUACUUCAAAUGAAUACUCAAAUGCAUAACUGAUACAUGAAUGACUAGUCCCCUUAACUUCUUCACACUUUUUAUGGAAGGAAAGUUAAAUACUGAGAUAUCUGGCAUUUCUGAUAGGAGGGGAGAAACAUGGGCCUCUGGUUUCUCAAAAGUGAAAGAUUUCUCUCUCUCUUUGUCUUGCUUUUUUGAUACCUUCUGUAAUCAAGAAUUCAACAGCAAAACAUAUUGUAACAAGUCUUUGCUAUAUGCUUCUUUUUAUUUUGAACAUCAUUCGUGUUUAUUUUACAUGUUCUUGAAACAAUACAAAUGACAUACACCUGCCUUCCUCACCCAACAGUAUGUACUCCUUCAUGUUUCAAAGGUAGUACAAUCACAAUGCUGAGCUGAUGAGAGAAUUAUAGUCCUGGAAACAGACUGCAAGGUCAUAAAAAAAGAUCUUGAUGCCUGAUCAGUGGGAUAGAUGGUGCUGUGCCACUUACAAAUGGAGUCACUUCAGAAAGGAUAGAUGAAGCGUUUUUAAAAGAGACAGGUCAUCUCCAUGAUUUUUCUUUAAAUGACAGAAUAUCCUACUGGGUCUUAUUAUUAGUAACAGAGAUAAAGUGCAGCAGUUUUUAUUUUUUUAACUGUAGUG